UGGACGAAAGUCUGACGGAGCAACGCCGCGUGAGUGAAGAAGGCCUUCGGGUCGUAAAGCUCUGUCGUUUGGGACGAACGUGGAGUGUGUGAAUAAUGCAUUUCAAUGACGGUACCAAAGGAGGAAGCCACGGCUAACUACGUGCCAGCAGCCGCGGUAAUACGUAGGUGGCAAGCGUUGUCCGGAAUUAUUGGGCGUAAAGGGCGUGUAGGUGGACUCAUAAGUCGUGUGUCUAAGUGCGAAGCUCAACUUCGUAUAGGCGCAGGAAACUGUGAGCCUUGAGUGCAGGAGAGGAAAGUGGAAUUCCCAGUGUAGCGGUGAAAUGCGUAGAUAUUGGGAGGAACACCAGUGGCGAAGGCGACUUUCUGGACUGUGUCUGACACUGAGGCGCGAAAGCUAGGGGAGCGAACGGGAUUAGAUACCCCGGUAGUCCUAGCCGUAAACGAUGGGUACUAGGUGUAGAGGGUAUCGACCCCUUCUGUGCCGGAGUUAACGCAAUAAGUACCCCGCCUGGGGAGUAC
Molecule: ribosomal RNA, 521 nt
Filed under: uncultured bacterium
Lineage: Bacteria
Description: bacterial SSU rRNA
Rfam family: Bacterial small subunit ribosomal RNA
Source: RNAcentral